GUACUACCGAACGUUAUCUUGAUUCGCUGUAAAGUAACUGACCUUUUCCAUCUGGUUUGGCGCCAUGAUCUCCGUUAGCCGCAGGCAGCGGCCGCGGAGGCGGUGAGAGCUCAUCUCCUGCUUCGAAUCAGAAAUCAGUAUCAAUCGAUCGACGGCUAGGUUACAGCAACGGAUCAAACCAACAAUUAAUCGAAGCGAAUCAGCUGGCGCGUGCAUCAUGCGCACCUCCAAGCUCCGAUCGCC
RNAcentral lists this long non-coding RNA (243 nucleotides) under Setaria viridis. Its description in RNAcentral is "long non-coding RNA (SVIR_LNC001302)". Lineage: Eukaryota; Viridiplantae; Streptophyta; Magnoliopsida; Poales; Poaceae. The record is from RNAcentral.